This 519-nucleotide ribosomal RNA is filed under the name uncultured bacterium. RNAcentral's name for it is "partial 16S ribosomal RNA". It matches the Rfam family "Bacterial small subunit ribosomal RNA", at positions 28 to 507 of the family's 1533-position model. The record is from RNAcentral.
GACGAACGCUGGCGGCGUGCCUAAUACAUGCAAGUCGCACGAGUCUGCCUUGAAGAUCGGAGUGCUUGCACCCUGUGAAACAAGAUACAGGCUAGCGGCGGACGGGUGAGUAACACGUGGGUAACCGGCCAAAGAGAUCGAGAUCACACCUGGAAACCGAUGCUAAUACCGGAUAACAACAGGUGAUGCCUAUCGACUGUUUAAAAGAUGGUUCUGCUAUCACUCUUGGAUGGACCUGCGGUGCAUUAGCUAGGUGGUAGGGUAACGGCCUACCACGGCGAUGAUGCAUAGGCGAGUUGAGAGACUGAUCGGCCACAUUGGGAGUGAGACACGGCCCAAACUCCUACGGUAGGCAGCAGUAGGGAAUCUUCCACAAUGGACGCAAGGCUGAUGGAGCAACGCGGCGUGAGUGAAGAAGGGUUUCGGCUCGGAAAGCUCUGUUGUUGGUGAAGAAGGACAGGGGUAGUAACUGACCUUUGUUUGACGGUAAUCAAUGAGAAAGUCACGGCUAACUACGUG